CAGGCAUGUGCCACCACACCUGGGAAGAGGGUUUAACUCUGCAACAUAAUCAGUGCACAGAAACCUAAAUUGGAAAUCUCUUUCACUACAGACAAGACAGUUCAGAAGUGAAAAGUCACAGUAAAAUUGGGCAUUUCUUUCCAUAGACUUAACAGAAGCAACACCUGGAUUCCAGCAGCUGUACUGGUGUAACUGGCACUUGAACGUCUCCAUCCAAGUGCCCCUUUGUGGCAGAUGAAGAGUUCAGGUUUUGUUCCUCAUCAGCUUUGUGACCUUGGGCAAAGUCCUUGACCUAUCAGAGCCUCAAUUUCCCUAUCUGUGGAAAGACGACCAUGAAAAAAUAUGCACUAUGGGGUGGUUCUGGUGGGGAGAGUUAAAUUAGAUAUAAUUUAGAAAUUCUUAGCAUAAUAUUUGUAUCAUAUAUAUGUUUAUAUAUGUUAAUAUGUAACACAUAAUAGUAUAUAAGAAAGUCAUCUAUAUGAACUUCACACAGCAUAUUAUAUUAUAUAUACACACUACAUGGUGUAU
Molecule: long non-coding RNA, 528 nt
Filed under: Homo sapiens (human)
Lineage: Eukaryota; Metazoa; Chordata; Mammalia; Primates; Hominidae
Description: HSALNT0384759
Source: RNAcentral